Molecule: non-coding RNA, 76 nt
Organism: Parelaphostrongylus tenuis
Lineage: Eukaryota; Metazoa; Nematoda; Chromadorea; Rhabditida; Metastrongylidae
Source: the annotation of a GenBank genome assembly
GGCGUAAAUGGUGCAGCUGGCUAAGCGCGAGCCCUCAAAAAGGGUUAAAUAUGGGUUCAAGUCCCGCCUGACGUCA